Molecule: long non-coding RNA, 656 nt
Filed under: Chinchilla lanigera (long-tailed chinchilla)
Lineage: Eukaryota; Metazoa; Chordata; Mammalia; Rodentia; Chinchillidae
Description: lncRNA (ENSCLAG00000023584.1)
Source: RNAcentral
GACACCUCCACCUCCCACCUGGGGCCCAGGCCAGCACCCCAGCCUGGUCACAUCACCAGGCUGGCCACUGUCUCAUCACCUGGAGGAAGCCAAAAAAUCAGAGGUGCUAGGGCAAGGAGUGCGUGUGUGUGUGUGUGUGUGUGUGUGUGUGUGUAGAGUGUGUGUGUAUGUAUGUGUGCAUUCAGGCAUGCUGUCUCUUAUGUUCCAGAAAACAACUGGGCUCAACUCCUGCCCAGAGCUGGAACCCUGUUCCUCCCAGCUGAGUCAGCCCCAGGAAGAGCAUUGAUCAACCAGCGCUGCCCACAGUGUCACUGCAGGUGUUCACCGAGGCCUACUCCAAGUGCCAGUGACCUGGACAAGGACGUCCACCAGCCUGUGCGUCGGGGAGAGGAGCUCCGCUGCCGAAUAGGCUCAUCAUCAACUGAUAAGCAGGCAGGCUGACUUUCAGGUAUCAGAACUGAGUCUUAACUAUGAAGCUGCAGUUAUGAAGACAAGUAUAAAAUCAACACUUUCUGCUCGAAUCAAUGAGCCAUGUGUAAUCUGUAGCAAAGAGUACUUUUUGGAAAAAUUUUAACUGACAAAUCAAAAUUUAAACAUUGAAGUUAUCCAUGGUGAUGAUUUGGGUUGGCUGCAGACAGGUUACCAGUCAAAUUAAC